GGGCUCGUAGUUCAGCUGGCUAGAACACUUCAUUUGCAAUGAAGAGGUAGGCGGUUCGAGUCCGCCCGAGUCCA
This 74-nucleotide transfer RNA is filed under the name Candidatus Levyibacteriota bacterium. RNAcentral describes it as "tRNA-Ala". It matches the Rfam family "tRNA". From Rfam's summary of the family: Transfer RNA (tRNA) molecules are approximately 80 nucleotides in length. Their secondary structure includes four short double-helical elements and three loops (D, anti-codon, and T loops). Lineage: Bacteria; Candidatus Levyibacteriota. The record is from RNAcentral.